AAUGGGCGAAAGCCUGAUCAGCCAUGCCGCGUGAGUGAUGAAGGCCCUAGGGUUGUAAAGCUCUUUCGCCAGGGACGAUAAUGACGGUACCUGGAUAAGAAGCCCCGGCUAACUUCGUGCCAGCAGCCGCGGUAAACCGAAGGGGGCUAGCGUUGUCCGGAAUUACUGGGUGUAAAGCGUAUGCAGGCGGAUCGCUAAGUCAGGGGUGAAAUCCCGAGGCUCAACCUCGGAACUGCCUUUGAUACUGACGAUCUUGAGUCCGG
This 263-nucleotide ribosomal RNA is filed under the name uncultured type II methanotroph. RNAcentral describes it as "partial 16S ribosomal RNA". It matches the Rfam family "Bacterial small subunit ribosomal RNA", at positions 370 to 651 of the family's 1533-position model. Lineage: Bacteria; Pseudomonadati; Pseudomonadota; Alphaproteobacteria; Hyphomicrobiales; Methylocystaceae. The record is from RNAcentral.